Molecule: transfer RNA, 73 nt
Filed under: Margarya monodi
Lineage: Eukaryota; Metazoa; Mollusca; Gastropoda; Architaenioglossa; Viviparidae
Description: tRNA-Arg
Rfam family: tRNA
About the family: Transfer RNA (tRNA) molecules are approximately 80 nucleotides in length.
Source: RNAcentral
UUAUAAGGAGCAUAGAAUUAAUGCAUAUGGUUUCGGCCCAUGAUUUUAGAGGUGUAAAAUCCUUUUUUAUAAG